RNAcentral lists this unclassified non-coding RNA (625 nucleotides) under Hevea brasiliensis (rubber tree). Lineage: Eukaryota; Viridiplantae; Streptophyta; Magnoliopsida; Malpighiales; Euphorbiaceae. The record is from RNAcentral.
AAAGUGUCCCAAACAAGACAACAUGAAGACAACAUGCCAUUUAUUAUUAUUAGACCUCAAAGAGAAGCCAUAGUAAGAUUCACAACAGUAAGAAAAACAGACCAAACCAAACAAGGCUUAAGCAAGUCCGCCGCAAUCGGGUUCACACCUCGGAACAACCGGUCGCACCCAACCAACGCCGCCGUUUUUCCCAAACAUGCCAAAGAGCCGAGCCGUCGUGCGCCAGCCCCAAGCACGAGGCCGUACCACGCCACGCACAACGCCAAGUACAAACCAUAAAGGUAGAGGGCGUUGGGCCUGGCGUGGAACCCGCCCUCGGCCCAAACCAGCCAGGCCGCGACGCCCAUCAAUAAGCUGGAAGUCAAAGAUCCCCAAUUAACGACCUUCGUCGAUGGGACCCAGAAGGGCCUUGCGGCGGAGGCCGAGAAGUAGUUUUUGGGGUUGGACAGGAGGAAGAUGGAGAGGAGAGUGAGGGAAACGGGGAUGGAGAUUGCAAGAGCUAGAGACUUUAGGCCUCGUUUGGCUAUGGCUUUGUUCUUGGCUUUCUUGGCGGUGCCGUUGUCGGCGGCGGGGACUUUGGGGGAGGAGGAAUCGUCUGUUUUUCGGUGCUUAAGCUCGGUGGAAG